This 253-nucleotide ribosomal RNA is filed under the name uncultured bacterium. RNAcentral describes it as "partial 16S ribosomal RNA". It matches the Rfam family "Bacterial small subunit ribosomal RNA", at positions 524 to 776 of the family's 1533-position model. The record is from RNAcentral.
UACGUAGGGGGCAAGCGUUGUCCGGAUUUAUUGGGCGUAAAGAGCGUGUAGGCGGCCAUGCAGGUCCGUUGUGAAAACUCGAGGCUCAACCUCGAGACGUCGAUGGAAACCUCAUGACUAGAGGACCGGAGAGGAUAGUGGAAUUCCCAGUGUAGUGGUGAAAUACGUAGAGAUUGGGAAGAACACCAGUGGCGAAGGCGGCUAUCUGGACGGUUUCUGACGCUAAGACGCGAAAGCGUGGGGAGCAAACAGG